This 26-nucleotide small RNA is filed under the name Bombyx mori (domestic silkworm). Its description in RNAcentral is "piRNA piR-bmo-1382778". The record is from RNAcentral. Lineage: Eukaryota; Metazoa; Arthropoda; Insecta; Lepidoptera; Bombycidae.
UGAUAGAAAAAGGACUUGGACAAAGU